RNAcentral lists this long non-coding RNA (1127 nucleotides) under Gossypium barbadense (sea-island cotton). RNAcentral's name for it is "long non-coding RNA (GBAR_LNC013039)". The record is from RNAcentral. Lineage: Eukaryota; Viridiplantae; Streptophyta; Magnoliopsida; Malvales; Malvaceae.
GCACACUCACAAAUCUACAAAAUACCGGCUUUCGGCAUUUCAGCUUUUCGACUUUUGCCGAUCCAGACUAAGAAAGAGGGUGUUAGUUACACACCUGUUUGCGACGAAAUGCUGAAAAGAUCCACACACGAACCGCCUACAAUUGGAUUAUUAACACGUUAAUCUAACUAUUCAAAUACAAACUACGUAUUAACCCCUUACAAUAUUCGGCCAACCACACCUACAGAUCAUAGUAAGCUUAUAAGAAAUCAAUAAGUAACUCAUUAACAAAUUUUUGUCAAUGUUUACCACAUAAUCAUAAUUUCACUGCAAGCUGUCUUCCUGAGCAACAGUCACUAAAUAAUUUAUAAAUGGAGAUACGAAACUCCAAAUCAAGUGCCGUUAAUUUUCCCUGAAAAUAGACUCAUAUAUCUUAUAUCCAUAAAAUUUUCAGAAUUUUUGGUUUGGCCAAUCAAUACCAGCUUUUUCUCAAAGUUUCGCAUGUUUCACUGUUUGACUAAUCUGACCACUCUUCAUUACGAAUCAAAAUUCUCAUUGUACAGAAUUCAAAAUAUGUUCUCGUUUAUUCCAUUUGAAACUAGACUCAUUAAGAUUUAAUUACAUAAUUUAUGCAGCUUCUAACUCAUCUCCCACAACUUAUGGUGAUUUUCCAACGUCACGUUACCGCUGCUGUCCCAAGCAGAUUUAUUACCAAAUCACUCUUUCACACAUAACUUGCAUGCAUGUUUUUUUUUAAACAUGUAUAUCACCAAUCAAUCAUCACAUAUCUAUGAUUUUACUUAAGUAUAAUCUCCAUUUCAUCAUUUUAAAGCACAACAUAUUAGCCGAUUUUUCCCCUUAGCAUCUAAGGCACAUGCAUGCUCAUUUGUUUGGCUCAACUUCACCUAUCUUCCAUUUUUCAUCAAAAGAACAUGAAACAACAACCAUUUCCUUCAUUUUAAUUCAUGACUAAAUGCUCACAACACAACUAAAAACCAAAAUAUGCUUCAAGAGUUAAGGUAGAAUCAAGAAGAACUCAUGAACAUCAAGAUAGAAGCAAACUACCAUGAACUUACCUUCAAUUUUCUUCCCCAAGUGACCGAACAUUCAAGAGCUUUCUCCUCUCCUUUCUCUUCUCUAACUUUCGG